UAACACGUAUCCAACCCGCCGUCUACUCUUGGACAGCCUUCUGAAAGGAAGAUUAAUACAAGAUGGCAUCAUGAGUCCGCAUGUUCACAUGAUUAAAGGUAUUCCGGUAGACGAUGGGGAUGCGUUCCAUUAGAUAGUAGGCGGGGUAACGGCCCACCUAGUCUUCGAUGGAUAGGGGUUCUGAGAGGAAGGUCCCCCACAUUGGAACUGAGACACGAUCCAAACUCCUACGGGAGGCAGCAGUGAGGAAUAUUGGUCAAUGGGCGAGAGCCUGAACCAGCCAAGUAGCGUGAAGGAUGACUGCCCUAUGGGUUGUAAACUUCUUUUAUAAAGGAAUAAAGUCGGGUAUGGAUACCCGUUUGCAUGUACUUUAUGAAUAAGGAUCGGCUAACUCCGUGCCAGCAGCCGCGGUAAUACGGAGGAUCCGAGCGUUAUCCGGAUUUAUUGGGUUUAAAGGGAGCGUAGAUGGAUGUUUAAGUCAGUUGUGAAAGUUUGCGGCUCAACCGUAAAAUUGCAGUUGAUACUGGAUAUCUUGAGUGCAGUUGAGGCAGGCGGAAUUCGUGGUGUAGCGGUGAAAUGCUUAGAUAUCACGAAGAACUCCGAUUGCGAAGGCAGCCUGCUAAGCUGCAACUGACAUUGAGGCUCGAAAGUGUGGGUAUCAAACAGGAUUAGAUACCCUGGUAGUCCACACGGUAAACGAUGAAUACUCGCUGU
This 714-nucleotide ribosomal RNA is filed under the name uncultured bacterium. RNAcentral's name for it is "bacterial SSU rRNA". It matches the Rfam family "Bacterial small subunit ribosomal RNA", at positions 111 to 823 of the family's 1533-position model. The record is from RNAcentral.